CCUACGGGGGGCAGCAGUGGGGAAUAUUGCGCAAUGGGCGAAAGCCUGACGCAGCGACGCCGCGUGAGGGAUGAAGGUCUUCGGAUCGUAAACCUCUGUCAGCAGGGAAGAACGGUCACUGUGCUAAUCAGCAGUGAAUUGACGGUACCUGCAAAGGAAGCACCGGCUAACUCCGUGCCAGCAGCCGCGGUAAUACGGAGGGUGCGAGCGUUAAUCGGAAUUACUGGGCGUAAAGCGCUCGUAGGCGGUAUGUCAAGUCAAGGGUGAAAUCCCCGCGCUCAACGUGGGAACUGCCUUUGAAACUGGCAAACUGGAGUGUGUGAGAGGUUAGUGGAAUUCCAGGUGUAGGAGUGAAAUGCGUAGAUAUCUGGAGGAACAUCAGUGGCGAAGGCGACUAUCUGGCACAUAACUGACGCUGAGGGGCGAAAGCGUGGGUAGCAAACAGGAUUAGAUACCCGUGUAGUC
This 465-nucleotide ribosomal RNA is filed under the name uncultured bacterium. RNAcentral's name for it is "partial 16S ribosomal RNA". It matches the Rfam family "Bacterial small subunit ribosomal RNA", at positions 338 to 795 of the family's 1533-position model. The record is from RNAcentral.